CCGAGUUUACAACUCCCAAACCCCUGUGAACAUACCUAUGUUGCCUCGGCGGAUCAGCCCGCGCCCCGUAAAACGGACGGCCCGCCGCAGAGGACCCCUAAACUCUGUUCUAUAGUGGAACUUCUGAGUAAAACCAUAAUAAAUCA
This 146-nucleotide unclassified non-coding RNA is filed under the name soil metagenome. RNAcentral describes it as "partial internal transcribed spacer 1". The record is from RNAcentral.